This 1012-nucleotide ribosomal RNA is filed under the name human gut metagenome. RNAcentral's name for it is "bacterial LSU rRNA". It matches the Rfam family "Bacterial large subunit ribosomal RNA", at positions 1636 to 2665 of the family's 2925-position model. The record is from RNAcentral.
AGGUGCCCGUACCGCAAACCGACACAGGUAGGUAGGAAGAAGAUUCUAAGGCCAACGGGAGAAGGGUUGUUAAGGAACUCGGCAAGUUGACCCCGUAACUUCGGAAUAAGGGGUGCUCAUGAAAGUGAGCCGCAGAGAAUAGGCCCAGGCAACUGUUUACCAAAAACACAGGUUUGUGCUAAAUCGAAAGAUGACGUAUACGAGCUGACGCCUGCCCGGUGCUGGAAGGUUAAGAGGAGAUGUGCAAGCAUUGAAUCGAAGCCCCAGUGAACGGCGGCCGUAACUAUAACGGUCCUAAGGUAGCGAAAUUCCUUGUCAGGUAAGUUCUGACCCGCACGAAAGGCGUAAUGAUUUGGGCACUGUCUCAACAGCCCGCCCGGCGAAAUUGUAGUACCGGUGAAGAUGCCGGUUACCCGCGACAAGACGGAAAGACCCCAUGGAGCUUUACUGUAGCCUAAUAUUGGGUUUCGAUGUUGCAUGCACAGGAUAGAUGGGACACUGGGAAACAAUCGCUUUGGCGGUUGCGGAGUGGCCGUUGGGAUACCAUCCUUGCGAUAUUGGAAUUCUAACCUGCGGCUCUGAAUCGAGUCGGGGGACAUUGUUAGGUGGGCAGUUUGACUGGGGCGGUCGCCUCCUAAAAAGUAACGGAGGCGUUCAAAGGUUCGCUCAGCUUGAACGGAAAUCAAGCAAAAGAGUGCAAACGCAGAAGCGAGCCUAACUGCGAGACUGACGGGUCGAGCAGUAACGAAAGUUGGAGUUAGUGAUCCGGUGGUAUGUGAGUGGAAAUGCCAUCGCUCAACGGAUAAAAGCUACCCUGGGGAUAACAGGCUGAUCUCCCCCAAGAGUCCACAUCGACGGGGAGGUUUGGCACCUCGAUGUCGGCUCAUCGCAUCCUGGGGCUGAAUUCGGUCCCAAGGGUUUGGCUGUUCGCCAAUUAAAGCGGUACGCGAGCUGGGUUCAGAACGUCGUGAGACAGUUCGGUCCCUAUCUGUCGUGGGCGCAGGAUAUUUGA